RNAcentral lists this ribosomal RNA (433 nucleotides) under uncultured bacterium. Its description in RNAcentral is "partial 16S ribosomal RNA". It matches the Rfam family "Bacterial small subunit ribosomal RNA", at positions 29 to 507 of the family's 1533-position model. The record is from RNAcentral.
AACGAACGCUGGCGGCAUGCCUAACACAUGCAAGUCGAACGAAGUCUUCGGACUUAGUGGCGCACGGGUGCGUAACGCGUGGGAAUCUGCCCUUGGGUACGGAAUAACUCAGAGAAAUUUGUGCUAAUACCGUAUAAUGUCUUCGGACCAAAGAUUUAUCGCCCAAGGAUGAGCCCGCGUAAGAUUAGCUAGUUGGUGGGGUAUAAGCCUACCAAGGCGACGAUCUUUAGCUGGUCUGAGAGGAUGAUCAGCCACACUGGGACUGAGACACGGCCCAGACUCCUACGGGAGGCAGCAGUGGGGAAUAUUGGACAAGGGGCGAAAGCCUGAUCCAGCAAUGCCGCGUGAGUGAUGAAGGCCCUAGGGUUGUAAAGCUCUUUUACCAGGGAUGAUAAUGACAGUACCUGGAGAAUAAGCACCGGCUAACUCCGUG